This 479-nucleotide unclassified non-coding RNA is filed under the name Caenorhabditis briggsae. RNAcentral's name for it is "misc RNA CBG16522". Lineage: Eukaryota; Metazoa; Nematoda; Chromadorea; Rhabditida; Rhabditidae. The record is from RNAcentral.
AAAAACGAUUGAUUGGGUUCUCUCGGGAUGAAAUGUUCAAAGUAGUAUCUGAUGUCUCCGAAUACCAUCACUUCGUGCCAUGGUGUAGAUCGUCGACAGUAGAACAUGAACAUGAGAGCUCACAGAUAGCAACACUCGAAAUCGGAUUCCCACCAUUUAUGGAAAAAUACACAAGCCGUGUUAUUUACAUCAAACCAUCAGUUGUUCAUUCAGUUGUCAUCGAAAACGACAAUCUCUUCAAGACUCUCGAUACCACAUUUAGAUUUGGAAAAGGAAAUCCAUCUGUGGAACGCUCUUGUACUCUACACUACGAUCUCGUUUUCGAAUUUGAAUCAGCGUUCCAUUCUCGAAUCGCACACCUUUUCUUCGACAAAGUCGUUAAAACAAUGGUGUCAGCGUUUUUACAUCGCGCUGAGAAAUUGUACGGAGCCCCUGAAUUUCCACACACACCUCCACAAGUAUUACAAUAUAAAUCAUGA